RNAcentral lists this ribosomal RNA (558 nucleotides) under uncultured Sordariales. RNAcentral's name for it is "eukaryotic LSU rRNA". The stretch from base 192 to 345 matches the Rfam family "5.8S ribosomal RNA". The record is from RNAcentral. Lineage: Eukaryota; Fungi; Ascomycota; Sordariomycetes; Sordariales.
UUACAGAGUUGCAAAACUCCAACAAACCAUCGCGAAUCUUACCCGUACGGUUGCCUCGGCGCUGGCGGUCCGGAAGGCCCUCGGGCCCCCGGAUCCUCGGGUCUCCCGCUCGCGGGAGGCUGCCCGCCGGAGUGCCGAAACCAAACUCUUGAUAUUUUAUGUCUCUCUGAGUAAACUUUUAAAUAAGUCAAAACUUUCAACAACGGAUCUCUUGGUUCUGGCAUCGAUGAAGAACGCAGCGAAAUGCGAUAAGUAGUGUGAAUUGCAGAAUUCAGUGAAUCAUCGAAUCUUUGAACGCACAUUGCGCCCUUUGGUAUUCCUUAGGGCAUGCCUGUUCGAGCGUCAUUUGAACCCUCAAGCUCAGCUUGGUGUUGGGUGUCUGUCCCCGCCCCGCGGGGACUCGCCUCAAAAACAUUGGCGGCCGGUACGUUGGCUUCGAGCGCAGCAGAAACGCGAACUCGGGGCCCGACGUAGCGGCGACCACAAGUCUAUUCAUCACUUUGACCUCGGAUCAGGUAGGGAUACCCGCUGAACUUAAGCAUAUCAAUAAGCGGAGGA